Molecule: ribosomal RNA, 774 nt
Filed under: uncultured Neocallimastigales
Lineage: Eukaryota; Fungi; Neocallimastigomycota; Neocallimastigomycetes; Neocallimastigales
Description: partial large subunit ribosomal RNA
Rfam family: Eukaryotic large subunit ribosomal RNA
Source: RNAcentral
AAGAGAGACAUGCGCGCAUAUCAAUAAGCGGAGGAAAAGAAACUAACAAGGAUUCCCUUAGUAACGGCGAGUGAAGCGGGAAGAGCUCAAAUUUGAAAUCUUCAAGGUUUUACCUUGACGAAUUGUAGUUUAAAGAAGUGUUUUCUGCUGAAGUUUUGGUAAAAGUUCUUUGGAAUAGGACAUCAUAGAGGGUGAGAAUCCCGUAUUUGACCAUUAUUUUCAGCUUUGUGAUACACUUUCAAAGAGUCGGAUUGUUUGGGAAUGCAGUCCAAAAUGGGUGGUAAAUUUCAUCUAAAGCUAAAUAUUGGCGAGAGACCGAUAGCGAACAAGUACCGUGAGGGAAAGAUGAAAAGAACUUUGAAAAGAGAGUUAAACAGUACGUGAAAUUGUCAAAAGGGAAGCGUUUGACACCAGUGUUGUUUCCUCGAAAAUCAAUUAAAAAUGGCUCGAUUUUGUAUUGCUGAGACCUUAAAAGCUCACUGUACAUUUUUCGUGUCCUUUUUAAUGCACUUUUCGUUUAACAAGUCAACAUCAGUUUCUUUUGUUGUAAAAGGGUCAUUGGAAGGUGGCUUUCUUUUCGGAGAAAGUGUUUAUAGCCUUUGGCCUCUGCAAUCGGAAGAGACUGAGGUCUGCAGCGUAGACUCUUCGGGGUUAGAUACAUUUGUGCUAAGUUAUAGCUUUUUAUAGACAACUUGUUGACUAUAAUUAGUCUUGUAGCUUACUCGCUUAUGCUAUUUUACCUACGCUUAGGAUGUUGAAGAUGUAGCACAUCAU